This 465-nucleotide ribosomal RNA is filed under the name Vreelandella stevensii. RNAcentral's name for it is "partial 16S ribosomal RNA". It matches the Rfam family "Bacterial small subunit ribosomal RNA", at positions 338 to 795 of the family's 1533-position model. Lineage: Bacteria; Pseudomonadati; Pseudomonadota; Gammaproteobacteria; Oceanospirillales; Halomonadaceae. The record is from RNAcentral.
CCUACGGGAGGCUGCAGUGGGGAAUAUUGGACAAUGGGCGAAAGCCUGAUCCAGCCAUGCCGCGUGUGUGAAGAAGGCCUUCGGGUUGUAAAGCACUUUCAGUGGGGAAGAAAGCCUUGGGGCUAAUACCCUCGAGGAAGGACAUCACCCACAGAAGAAGCACCGGCUAACUCCGUGCCAGCAGCCGCGGUAAUACGGAGGGUGCGAGCGUUAAUCGGAAUUACUGGGCGUAAAGCGCGCGCAGGCGGUCUGAUAAGCCGGUUGUGAAAGCCCCGGGCUCAACCUGGGAACGGCAUCCGGAACUGUCAGGCUAGAGUGCAGGAGAGGAAGGUAGAAUUCCCGGUGUAGCGGUGAAAUGCGUAGAGAUCGGGAGGAAUACCAGUGGCGAAGGCGGCCUUCUGGACUGACACUGACGCUGAGGUGCGAAAGCGUGGGUAGCAAACAGGAUUAGAUACCCUGGUAGUC